GCUUAGGCUGUGGACGGUCCUGGGGUGGGGUCCACUAUUCACCUGCGAAGUUGCUCUCCAUAGAAGGGACGACCCUUGAGCAGGGAAGGAGUCUAAUCACACACCAAGGCUCUGCCUUCUUCCUCGAGGGCCACUGACCUCUGGGUUCCACUAAUGCAGUAAUUCCCAGGUGAGGUAUUUGUGGCGUGUGGAGGAACAGGAUAGGGCCAGCACUCUCAGGCACAAGUGUCCACUGCUGUCCCUUUAAAGCUAGGCGUCUCUGGUCACAGAAGGACCCCCAGUGGCUGCCUUCACAUAUCUUAGGUUUAUAAAACGUGCUGUUGGCAUCCACCCAUGUUAGAGAGAAAGAGGAGUAGGUAGACAUCAGCCUUUUCCUAAACAAAUAAAACCAACAAAAUGGAAGGCGGAGUGGGUGGAGCUCUGAGUUUAGAGUUCCCCUGGUCUCUAGUGACAGCCAGGCUCUGAGACCCUGAUUUUUUUUUGGGGAAAAGUCUUAUGUUUCUAGAAGUGUUGAUUGACUUUUGUUGUAUAGUUGGUUUUGGUGUUUUGAGAUGGGAUUCCACUCUGUGUGGCCCAGGCUGGCCUUGAACUUGGGGCUGUGGGAUCGUGCUGCCCAAAGCCUCAUUCCUGACUUUUAUUAUUCUUUUGCUUUUUGUUUUUGAGCCAGGGUCUCUAGCUGGCCUAGAAUUUGCUUUUGGAUCUUUUAAGGCUCUUCAAAAGUAGAAGACAUGUUUGUUGGCUCCUAAUCUUCUUUCCUAAAUGACUCCGUGAAGAGAGCCAGAGCCUCUGUCUUUGACCCCGCCCUGGGUAUGUCAGAGCUGGGAGCCCACGACUCUGACUCUGCCUCUGCCGAUGGAAGGAAGCCUGGGGCUGUGCUUCUCAGUCGCUCUGUCUUUGUGGCUGCUUUGUGGCCCCUGACGUCCUGAGUGCGACUUCAGCACCUGGGACAGGGAGUUUAACCUUGGUCUUGGCCUGGGCUGCACUUAUGGCUGCCCUACUUUGUGAGGCUCCUUCCCUGGGCUUCCAGCUGUGGACACUUCUACCUUUGGGGAUCUGAUGGCAUAUGCCUCACAGCCAUCACAAACACUGUGCACACUUUGUGUUUUCUUUUCUGCCUUAGUAGCUACUACUUGAGAUGCCUUUUUCCUGAAACUGUGGAGGAGUCUGGCUUUUUCUAUCAUCAGCUGACACUUAUGCCUUCAUCAAGCCUAAGGCUGAGCUGAGGGUUUGGCCUGUAGCUCACAGGCAGAUCAAGCUGUGUUAUUGCUUAUUGGUAGUGACAUUUUAAAAGAGCCCUGCUGUUCCAUGGAUUGUUUGACUAUGGAGUGAAGUCGCCAAGGGAUUGACAGGGGAAGGUGUUUCCCAUCCCCAUCUGGGAGCUAAAGGUGACCCCAGUGUGGGGAUUCUCCUACCUGUGCCUUUACCAUGGCCUUGCCCUCUGCUGCUCUUGUUUUUAAAAGGUGAAAGGACUCCCUGGGGAACUGUGGGAGUCCCUGGUCCUAGGAGGUGCCAGCACCCUGGCUGUCCUGUGCUCUGCGUGCAGACCUCCCGCAGGUGGGCAGGAUCUAGGUUCUCGAGUUCCCAGCAUAGCCUUUGUCAGUGCAUUAGGAUUACCUGGGUGAACUUUCCAACCCACACUCCCACCUUAGUGCCCAAUCCCUGAACUCAGGAGGUGCAGUCAGAGUGAGGCUUCUGGCUAGUGGGAACGCUCCAGGUAACUUCCUGUGCCCCGAGGUGUGGGAGCCAUGCCUGGGACCCUAGGUCUAUGUGACCUGCUUUCUCUGUUCAGGGGUGUGCUGGACACCCGAGACACUUGUUUUCAGUGUUGCCAAAU
This is a non-coding RNA of Myodes glareolus (Bank vole), 1834 nucleotides long. The record is from RefSeq and is a predicted model, not a curated record. Lineage: Eukaryota; Metazoa; Chordata; Mammalia; Rodentia; Cricetidae.